GUGUCGGUGGUACAACGGUUAGCAUAGCUGCAUUCCAAGCAGUUGACCCAGGUUCGACUCCUGGCCGACGCA
Non-coding RNA from Caerostris darwini, 72 nucleotides. Lineage: Eukaryota; Metazoa; Arthropoda; Arachnida; Araneae; Araneidae. The record is from the annotation of a GenBank genome assembly.